GAUGAACGCUGGCGGCGUGCCUAAUACAUGCAAGUCGAGCGAACAGACGAGGAGCUUGCUCCUCUGACGUUAGCGGCGGACGGGUGAGUAACACGUGGAUAACCUACCUAUAAGACUGGGAUAACUUCGGGAAACCGGAGCUAAUACCGGAUAAUAUAUUGAACCGCAUGGUUCAAUAGUGAAAGACGGUUUUGCUGUCACUUAUAGAUGGAUCCGCGCCGCAUUAGCUAGUUGGUAAGGUAACGGCUUACCAAGGCAACGAUGCGUAGCCGACCUGAGAGGGUGAUCGGCCACACUGGAACUGAGACACGGUCCAGACUCCUACGGGAGGCAGCAGUAGGGAAUCUUCCGCAAUGGGCGAAAACCUGACGGAGCAACGCCGCGUGAGUGAUGAAGGUCUUCGGAUCGUAAAACUCUGUUAUUAGGGAAGAACAAAAGUGUAAGUAACUAUGCACGUCUUGACGGUACCUAAUCAGAAAGCCACGGCUAACUACGUG
Molecule: ribosomal RNA, 497 nt
Filed under: uncultured bacterium
Lineage: Bacteria
Description: partial 16S ribosomal RNA
Rfam family: Bacterial small subunit ribosomal RNA
Source: RNAcentral